GGGAUAGUCAGGUACAUUAUAUUAUAUUAGUCAGGUACAGAUGCAUUAUAUUAGUCUUGUUGGGAUAGUCAGGUACAGAGAUAUAUUAUGUUACUCUUGUUGGGAUAGUCAGGUACAGAUAUAUUAUACUAGUCUUGUUGGGAUAGUCAGGUACAGAGAUAUAUUAUGUUACUCUUGUUGGGAUAGUCACGUACAGAUAUAUUAUACUAGUCUUGUUGGGAUAGUCAGGUACAGAUAUAUUAUACUAGUCUUGUUGGGAUAGUCAGGUACAGAGAUAUAUUAUGUUACUCUUGUUGGGAUAGUCAGGUACAGAUAUAUUAUACUAGUCUUGUUGGGAUAGUCAGGUACAGAUAUAUUAUACUAGUCUUGUUGGGAUAGUCAGGUACAGAUAUAUUAUACUAGUCUUGUUGGGAUAGUCAGGUACAGAUAUAUUAUACUAGUCUUGUUGGGAUAGUCAGGUACAGAUAUAUUAUACUAGUCUUGUUGGGAUAGUCAGGUACAGAGAUAUAUUAUGUUACUCUUGUUGGGAUAGUCACGUACAGAUAUAUUAUACUAGUCUUGUUGGGAUAG
Molecule: long non-coding RNA, 570 nt
Organism: Oncorhynchus keta (chum salmon)
Lineage: Eukaryota; Metazoa; Chordata; Actinopteri; Salmoniformes; Salmonidae
Exons: 3
Source: RefSeq, a predicted model, not a curated record